RNAcentral lists this transfer RNA (107 nucleotides) under Anaeromyxobacter sp. Fw109-5. RNAcentral's name for it is "tRNA-Glu (TTC) (tRNA-Glu-TTC-2 1 to 4)". The stretch from base 48 to 107 matches the Rfam family "tRNA". Rfam says of the family: Transfer RNA (tRNA) molecules are approximately 80 nucleotides in length. The record is from RNAcentral. Lineage: Bacteria; Pseudomonadati; Myxococcota; Myxococcia; Myxococcales; Anaeromyxobacteraceae.
GGCCUCGUAGCGCCCUGCGGGCGCGGAGACGAUGACCCGCAUCGGGAGAGCCCAGGAUCCUCGGCCCUUUCAAGGCCGCAACCGGGGUUCGAAUCCCCGUGGGGUCA